CUGGGUUCAAGCGAUCCUCCCGCCUCGGCCUCCUAAAGUGCUGGGAUUACAGGUGUGAGCCACCGAGCCGGCCUAACACCACUGUGAUAGAGCCCUUCUGCUGCGCCUAACAAGAAAAAGGUGUGAGGAAUCAGGUAGAGGAUGGUAGCUCGGAAGAAACAGAGCCUGACCUCACCUGGCCAGAUAUCCAAUCUUCAUUGCCCCAAACCACUGGACCCUUGAAGAAUGUCUGAUACGGAAGCCUUACCUGACUGUGCAAGGGCAUCAAUAAAGGCAAAAAAGUGCUUCUCUAAAUCUUCCAAAUCAGAGAAUGGCCGCUGGGACCAAACAGCAGCUGCAAUCAGAGGACAUCUCUCAGUGGCAUUCCCAAACACAUCCACGAAUUCUCCAAGGUCCAUGGAGUUGACCUUCUCAAUGUCCAUUCCUUGUAUUCCACUGGAGACAGCGGGACGUCCAGCUCCCCUCUCGUUCACCGCUCCCUGGGCAAUCUGGUGGCUCCGGUCUUCCUGGAGGACAUCAGAUUGAUGCCGAACUUGGUGCAGUCACCUGAUCGGCAGAGCGCACUACAGCCCGGAACUCCUGGACUCCAGUGAUCCACCUGCCUUAGCCUCCCGAGUAGCUGGGACUACAGCCGCGUCUGGCUGUUAUUAACACUUUAAUGUCAUCAUCACCGCAGGACAUUUUCCCUGAUAAUUUAGCCAGGUCCACGGGUCAACCCACUUGGAACUUGAUUUCCUAACUAUUGUUAUUGCUGCUGUUAAGGACAGGUACUAUGUUUUUCUCAGUCUGUGUAUGCCAGAUGCUUAACACAACAAGUACUUAAUAAAUGCUCAUUAAGCAGGA
This is a long non-coding RNA of Homo sapiens (human), 843 nucleotides long. RefSeq lists it as uncharacterized. The transcript has 4 exons. The record is from RefSeq and is a predicted model, not a curated record. Lineage: Eukaryota; Metazoa; Chordata; Mammalia; Primates; Hominidae.